RNA transcript from Mangifera indica (mango), 2507 nucleotides. It is a transcript of the gene named cytochrome c oxidase copper chaperone 1-like, with no coding region annotated. The transcript has 3 exons. The record is from RefSeq and is a predicted model, not a curated record. Lineage: Eukaryota; Viridiplantae; Streptophyta; Magnoliopsida; Sapindales; Anacardiaceae.
AAUCCAUGUAAGUGUUACUGGACCCAACACCCAAACAUAAUUUACCUACCCAGACUCGGCCCAUUCCAGCUGCAUUACUUUUCUUCUCUAUUUGGUUAUUCACAGCCUAAAACCUCCGCCGAAGGUUUAAUUUAUCCGCCGAAAGUUCACCGAAUCAUUCUUUUCUAGCACUCUGAAUUCUUCUUGUACUUGUGACAAUGGGUGGAGUGCCCCUGCAAGAUGCUUCCUCCAUCUUAGCUUUGUCGGGGUCUCAGCCAAAACAAGGUUUGGCUGUUGUAAAAUCUGACCAAGAGUCAAAGCCAAAGAAGAAGAUCUGCUGUGCCUGCCCUGAGACUAAGAAGCUUAGAGAUGAAUGCAUCGUGGAGCAUGGUGAAGAGGCUUGUGCAAAAUGGAUAGAAGCUCAUCGAAUGUGCCUUCGUGCUGAGGGCUUUAAUGUUUGAGAUUGAUAGAGGUAGUUUUUACAAGUCAAACCGGAUGGGUAUACUGACAUUACAAUUUACAAUUGCAGAUAGCAGAUUAUUUGCUAAAGAAAUAAAGCAACAAAAUUGUUAUUGACUUUUGAAUGCAAUACUUCAUAUGAUUUUAAAGUGAAAAUGGAUGAGAUACAUUCUUAUUGUAUUCAUGUUCAUCUUUUACGUUAUUGGUUUUCCUUUUAACUUUGUUGUUCUGUAAUCAUAGGCUGUGCAGGAUGUAUUUUUUGCAUAUCGUCCACCAUUCUUGUGUGAUUUUCUUUUAUGCUCCAAGUUAUCAGGGGAAGUGAAUGAUUUUUAUGCAUCCAGAUACAUUCAUCAAACACCGACUGUAUCAUUCACCAUUUACCUCCUUUCGACCUGAAAAUCUAAUAUUUCUUUAGACCUUUUGGGGUAGAUAAGAGAUAACAAGCCUUUUCUUAUAAUGAUAUUUUGUAGAUUGCUUUGAUUUAAAUAUGGUCAGUAUCAAGACUAGCAGGUGAGUGUUUGAUAAAUAUUUCUUGUAGUGAUCUAACCAUUUUGUUAAGUUGUUCAUAUCUUAAUAUUCUAGUUAUGAAGUAAAUAGUUAAAAGAGGCAAGUGAGAGCAGAGUAUACUUACUAAUAGCAUCAAUACAUUAACAGCCACACAAGGCCAAAGCCAAAAGCCACAGCCAUUACACGAUUACAGAAGGAAAUACAAGUAUAUCACUGACACACAACACACUCCACUUCACGCACACAAAGUAUUAUUUUUACAAAGGAUAAGUUCAUUACAACAUUAUUCCAACGAUUUCAGUCCCUUGAAAUUAUUGUUAUAGUAUUAGUUUAAUGACCACCACAAGUACAGUUCACGCAGGAGCAGCUGGUGCCACACUUGCACUUGCCGUGGUUCUCAGAAGUGGCAGGAACGUCGACCAUGACAAAAGUGGUUAUCCAGCUGCAAGAACAAAAACCAGAUUGUAUCAGUACAUGGCCAAAACCAAACAACAAAGAGAGAAAGAAAUAUUAUACUGUGCAUUGUCUUUGAUCUUCAGAAAGUACCUCUCAGUCUCAAUGAAGUCAGCAACAUAGCCGCUUCCCUUCUUCCUGCAAAUCCGAAAAAACUGAUAGUGUAAGUAAUAUAACCAUAGCAUAAUAACAAAAUCUUUAAGAUACGGAGAUACGAAUCACUUACACACACUUGCUCUUGUCAGCGCAGUCGCAGUUGCCGCAGUCCGACAUGUUGAGCUUGGAAAAAUUGAAACUUUGAAGUGUUUUUGAGAAAGCUGAUGGAUUUGUCUGAAUGGCUAUAUCUUGCAGCGUGGCCUGUAUUUAAAGAGGGGGAAAGAGGUGGUGCAAAUGGGUGAUAAAUGAAGAUGAAGGUGGCGUCAACUUCAGCUUGGGCAGCGGGCCCAGAUGGGCAUGCCGCAUGGGAGAAGCACACGCCUCUCGAGGAAGAGGCCGAAGGGAAUCUUGAUAAUGGAAGAGGUUGGCUUCCUUUCCUCCUCUCAUGUCAACUUCUCUCUUUCAUUUUCUUCCCCGUUUUUCCAAAGCUUCAAAACUCAUUAGCCUCUCUUUUUUAUGACAGUGACCACAAAAUUUUCAGACGCCAGACAUGGAAUUCAAGGAUGAUAGGACCAGGUGCAGAACAAAAAGAAGUUUUCGAAUUUGUAAGCAUUGCUUCUUCAACUGGGCAACGUUGUUGUCAAAAAAAGUAUAGCCUUACAUGCAUGUUUUCAAUCUUUUUAUCCUAAAGAUUUCAGAGAAAAAAGAAAUGUAAAUAUAUAAUAAUAGUGACAAUAAUGGUUGUCACCUCCUGCUUUCCUCCCAGUUUGUGUCCCUUGCAUGUCUAUAUCAAUGUUUUGUUUGGUUGCCGAGAAAAAUCUGAGUUGCAAUAUUUGACUUGUUCCAUUGAAUGAUUACUGGUUCUGGGAAAUUUAUAGUCUUUCUAAUAAAUCAACAAUUAUCGAAUAUAUAUUUAUGUAUUAUGAUUUUUAGAGACUGGUAGAAUCUUCUGUACAUAUCUUUUGGCAAAAAAAUUCUUAAAGAUUGUGUAAUAAAACUAUAAAAUUUCCAUC